UGGGGAAUAUUGCACAAUGGGCGCAAGCCUGAUGCAGCCAUGCCGCGUGUAUGAAGAAGGCCUUCGGGUUGUAAAGUACUUUCAGCGGGGAGGAAGGGAGUAAAGUUAAUACCUUUGCUCAUUGACGUUACCCGCAGAAGAAGCACCGGCUAACUCCGUGCCAGCAGCCGCGGUAAUACGGAGGGUGCAAGCGUUAAUCGGAAUUACUGGGCGUAAAGCGCACGCAGGCGGUUUGUUAAGUCAGAUGUGAAAUCCUCGGGCUCAACCUGGGAACUGCAUCAGAUACUGGCCAGCUUGAGUCUCGUAGAGGGGGGUAGAAUUCCAGGUGUAGCGGUGAAAUGCGUAGAGAUCUGGAGGAAUACCGGUGGCGAAGGCGGCCCCCUGGACGAAGACUGACGCUCAGGUGCGAAAGCGUGGGGAGCAAACAGG
This 429-nucleotide ribosomal RNA is filed under the name Chloroflexota bacterium. RNAcentral describes it as "Chloroflexi bacterium partial 16S ribosomal RNA". It matches the Rfam family "Bacterial small subunit ribosomal RNA", at positions 355 to 776 of the family's 1533-position model. The record is from RNAcentral. Lineage: Bacteria; Bacillati; Chloroflexota.